Molecule: ribosomal RNA, 322 nt
Filed under: uncultured eukaryote
Lineage: Eukaryota
Description: partial 18S ribosomal RNA
Rfam family: Eukaryotic small subunit ribosomal RNA
Source: RNAcentral
CCCUUAGAUGUUCUGGGCCGCACGCGUGCUACACUGAGUGGAUCAGCGGGUCAGGUUGCGCGAAAGUGUUUCCUAAUCUUGAAAUCCGCUCGUGAUGGGGAUUGACGGUUGCAAUUUUCCGUCAUGAACGAGGAAUACCUUGUAAGCGCGGGUCAUCAUCCCGCGCUGAAUACGUCCCUGCCCUUUGUACACACCGCCCGUCGCUCCUACCGAUUGAGUGGUCCGGUGAGGCUUUGGGAUCUGAGCGGAAAGAGCGUUUCGCUGUUUCUGCUCGGAAAACUCAGUCGAACCUUAUCAUUGAGAGGAAGGAGAAGUCGGAACA